This 200-nucleotide ribosomal RNA is filed under the name uncultured bacterium. RNAcentral describes it as "partial 16S ribosomal RNA". It matches the Rfam family "Bacterial small subunit ribosomal RNA", at positions 1300 to 1500 of the family's 1533-position model. The record is from RNAcentral.
GCAGGCUGCAACUCGCCUGCAUGAAGUCGGAAUUGCUAGUAAUGGCAGGUCAGCAUACUGCCGUGAAUACGUUCCCGGGCCUUGUACACACCGCCCGUCACACCAUGAGAGUUGGGAAUACCCGAAGCCUGUGAGCUAACGUUAAGAGGCAGCAGUCGAAGGUAGAAUCAAUGAUUGGGGUGAAGUCGUAACAAGGUACC